RNAcentral lists this ribosomal RNA (407 nucleotides) under bacterium enrichment culture clone ALO1_GLFRUDD03GYTOM. Its description in RNAcentral is "bacterial SSU rRNA". It matches the Rfam family "Bacterial small subunit ribosomal RNA", at positions 9 to 416 of the family's 1533-position model. The record is from RNAcentral.
GAGUUUGAUCGUGGUUCAGAUUGAACGCUGGCGGCAUGCCUUACACAUGCAAGUCGAACGGCAGCACGGGAGCUUGCUCCUGGUGGCGAGUGGCGAACGGGUGAGUAAUGCAUCGGAACGUAUCCUGGAGUGGGGGAUAACGUAGCGAAAGUUACGCUAAUACCGCAUAUUCUGUGAGCAGGAAAGCGGGGGACCUUCGGGCCUCGCGCUCUUGGAGCGGCCGAUGUCGGAUUAGCUAGUUGGUGAGGUAAAGGCUCACCAAGGCGACGAUCCGUAGCAGGUCUGAGAGGAUGAUCUGCCACACUGGAACUGAGACACGGUCCAGACUCCUACGGGAGGCAGCAGUGGGGAAUUUUGGACAAUGGGGGCAACCCUGAUCCAGCCAUGCCGCGUGAGUGAAGAAGGCC